Molecule: ribosomal RNA, 253 nt
Filed under: uncultured bacterium
Lineage: Bacteria
Description: partial 16S ribosomal RNA
Rfam family: Bacterial small subunit ribosomal RNA
Source: RNAcentral
GACGGAGGGGGCUAGCGUUGUUCGGAAUUACUGGGCGUAAAGGGCGCGUAGGCGGCACUGUUAGUCAGGCGUGAAAGUCCUGGGCUCAACCUGGGAACUGCGCUUGAUACGGCAGAGCUAGAGGAUGGAAGAGGCUCGCGGAAUUCCCAGUGUAGAGGUGAAAUUCGUAGAUAUUGGGAAGAACACCGGUGGCGAAGGCGGCGAGCUGGUCCAUUACUGACGCUGAGGCGCGACAGCGUGGGGAGCAAACAGG